GAUGAACGCUGGCGGCGUGCCUAAUACAUGCAAGUCGAGCGAACGGACGAGAAGCUUGCUUCUCUGAUGUUAGCGGCGGACGGGUGAGUAACACGUGGAUAACCUACCUAUAAGACUGGGAUAACUUCGGGAAACCGGAGCUAAUACCGGAUGAUAUUUUGAACCGCAUGGUUCAAAAGUGAAAGACGGUCUUGCUGUCACUUAUAGAUGGAUCCGCGCUGCAUUAGCUAGUUGGUAAGGUAACGGCUUACCAAGGCAACGAUGCAUAGCCGACCUGAGAGCGUGAUCGGCCACACUGGAACUGAGACACGGUCCAGACUCCUACGGGAGGCAGCAGUCGGGAAUCUUCCGCGAUGGGCGAAAGCCUGACGGAGCAACGCCGCGUGAGUGAUGAAGGUCUUCGGAUCGUAAAACUCUGUUAUUAGGGAAGAACAUAUGUGUAAGUAACUGUGCACAUCUUGACGGUACCUAAUCAGAAAGCCCCGGCUAACUACGUG
RNAcentral lists this ribosomal RNA (497 nucleotides) under uncultured bacterium. Its description in RNAcentral is "partial 16S ribosomal RNA". It matches the Rfam family "Bacterial small subunit ribosomal RNA", at positions 28 to 507 of the family's 1533-position model. The record is from RNAcentral.